RNAcentral lists this ribosomal RNA (467 nucleotides) under uncultured bacterium. RNAcentral's name for it is "bacterial SSU rRNA". It matches the Rfam family "Bacterial small subunit ribosomal RNA", at positions 329 to 793 of the family's 1533-position model. The record is from RNAcentral.
GUCCAGACUCCUACGGGAGGCAGCAGUGAGGAAUAUUGGUCAAUGGGCUUACGCCUGAACCAGCCAAGUCGCGUGAGGGAAGACUGCCCUAUGGGUUGUAAACCUCUUUUGUCAGGGAGCAAUUGGCGCUACGUGUAGCGUUAUCGAGAGUACCUGAAGAAAAAGCAUCGGCUAACUCCGUGCCAGCAGCCGCGGUAAUACGGAGGAUGCGAGCGUUAUCCGGAUUUAUUGGGUUUAAAGGGUGCGUAGGCGGAAUGCCAAGUCAGCGGUAAAAUCGCGGGGCUCAACCCCGCCCAGCCGUCGGAACUGCCGGGCUAGAGUGGGCGAGAAGUGCGCGGAAUGCGUGGUGUAGCGGUGAAAUGCAUAGAUAUCGCGCAGAACUCCGAUUGCGAAGGCAGCAUGCCGGCUCCACACUGACGCUGAGGCACGAAAGCGCGGGUAUCGAACAGGAUUAGAUACCCUCGUAA